Molecule: long non-coding RNA, 271 nt
Organism: Erinaceus europaeus (western European hedgehog)
Lineage: Eukaryota; Metazoa; Chordata; Mammalia; Eulipotyphla; Erinaceidae
Exons: 3
Source: RefSeq, a predicted model, not a curated record
ACGUUCUGGGAAAGACACCACAGCAUGGAAGUUUCCUUUGGUGCUGCAGUGCUUCUAGAGAUGCCUACUCAAACCAGGCUCCUGCUUGUGAGAAGACAUUUGAUAUACCAGGUGCCUCAGAACCCCAGAACUUUGUUUCUCAACCUUGGCCUUCUACAUCAACACACUCAGAUGUGUAAGAAUAUUCAGAGACAACAAGAUUAACCGCAGGUGGGGACUGGAGGUCUGGACCGACAGGUCGCUCAGCAUGACCACAUGUACACUCUGCCAG